Molecule: long non-coding RNA, 332 nt
Organism: Orcinus orca (killer whale)
Lineage: Eukaryota; Metazoa; Chordata; Mammalia; Artiodactyla; Delphinidae
Exons: 3
Source: RefSeq, a predicted model, not a curated record
CCUCCUAAGACUGGUCUACUAGAAGGUGAGAGAACACAUGGACCAGAGCCCAGCUGUCCCUCUAAGAUCAGCCAAGAUGCCCUACAGCUGACCUAGAGUGGACCCCAGACACAUGGGAGAGCCCGACCAAAUCUAGCUCAGUUGACCUAAGGACUUGAACAGCAAUAAAUGAUAGCACUGGAAGUUCCUGCUAUUUAAAGGUUUAUAAAAUUAAUCCGAACCACCUCAGAAUGGUGUUUUCUUUGAAAAAGAGCCUUCCACAGGCCCAAUGUGCUAACAGAUUCUUCUGGCAGGGGACAGUUUAAGAGAGAAUGGAGAAAUUUAGUCAAAGA